CAGCAGCCCGGUAAUACAGAGGUCCCAAGCGUUGUUCGGAUUCACUGGGCGUAAAGGGUGCGUAGGUGGCCGGGUAAGUCUGAUGUGAAAUCUCGGAGCUCAACUCCGAAACGGCAUUGGAUACUAUCCGGCUGGAGGGUCGGAGGGGGGACUGGAAUUCUCGGUGUAGCAGUGAAAUGCGUAGAUAUCGAGAGGAACACCAGUGGCGAAGGCGAGUCCCUGGACGACUCCUGACACUGAGGCACGAAAGCUAGGGGAGCAAACAGGAUUAGAUACCCUGGUAGUCCUAGCCGUAAACGGUGCGUAUUUGCUGUAAAAGGAAUCGACCCCUUUUGUGGCGCAGCUAACGCGUUAAAUACGCCGCCUGGGAAGUACGGUCGCAAGAUUAAAACUCAAAGGAAUUGACGG
RNAcentral lists this ribosomal RNA (408 nucleotides) under uncultured bacterium. RNAcentral's name for it is "bacterial SSU rRNA". It matches the Rfam family "Bacterial small subunit ribosomal RNA", at positions 509 to 916 of the family's 1533-position model. The record is from RNAcentral.